Molecule: long non-coding RNA, 1124 nt
Organism: Varroa destructor (honeybee mite)
Lineage: Eukaryota; Metazoa; Arthropoda; Arachnida; Mesostigmata; Varroidae
Source: RefSeq, a predicted model, not a curated record
GGACGUGGUCCUCUUCGGCAGUCGAAUCCGUCAGUGAAGUAGGUACACCAGAUGAGGAACGGCUCGAGCGGUUAUCCACCACUGACGUCGCCUUCUGCCCAGCGUCAUGCUGCAUCGAGUGAGUUGACAUAAGCCGGGGGGCAGUUAGUUCAAGACCGACGAUCCUCGCAGGUCGCGAGGAACGCUCCUGUCGAAAGAAGAAUCGACCAUUGAGCCACUCAAUAUGCAAAAUAUAAGUACUAACUAAUAUACGCCGCCCGUCUUGUCUGAGAUGUCUGGCGCCUCGCUCCAUAGAGCGCUAACAUACACACUUGGCGCCUGUACAUGGGUACAACGCUGGAUCAUUUGCGUGAUGUCUUGCGCUUUCGAGGGCGGAAACAUAACGCAAGCUAGAAGGAAAACUUCAUUCGUGAAAAGUAAUUGGUUUGCGGCACACGAUUCGAACUAAAUUACUGCGGGCAGAGUGACCACGAUUACUUGCUUAUUCCUAACGUAACUAGCAAGGCCGCUGUCUGCUUAAAAACAGUGUAGCUAUCUGGCGCGCAGGUCAACUUCAACCUGGCUGAAGAACUCUGUAAAAUACGCUAAAGUGAUUGAGAACAAGCGCCAGCUAAGCAAGAGAGGGCAAUUACUGUUACUAGAGCGAAUAACUUCAACCGAAUUAACCCUAAAAUUUGGUACUAAUUUCUUUCGAGUGGGUUAGCUGCGACCAAGAAAUUACAUUUCAUGGUUGCAUUCGGUAUUGGGUAGUAUUGCAUUUCCAAUUGACAAAACAAUCAUAAUGCGGCAAAUUUCGGGUAAACUCUCAGUACAGGAUACCUUUUGAGGUGAAAACAAUCUAAAAUGUUUGGCUAGUUUUUUUUUAUUAUUUGAUCAUGUGGCGAUAUUUUAGGAAGUAACAUCUGAAAAGUCCUUUGUGAUUAAAUAUAUUGGUAUGGAUAUUUUUUGUGCUUUAAAAUUAAACCUCCUGAAAUAUUCAUCAUCUGUAGAUGUUCGAUCGUUAACCAACAAUUAUCCGGUACACGACUGUACUGCUUUACUUUAUACUGCAUUAAAAAGUGCAUGAUUAGUAACAUAAAAGUAUUAUUCCUAACUAUCUUGGCUACCUAUACAUCGGUUCCUUA